Molecule: long non-coding RNA, 527 nt
Filed under: Nicotiana tabacum (common tobacco)
Lineage: Eukaryota; Viridiplantae; Streptophyta; Magnoliopsida; Solanales; Solanaceae
Description: long non-coding RNA (NTAB_LNC008961)
Source: RNAcentral
UCAGGUUGCACUACAUAAGGUAAAUCGUUACUACUAUUAGUUAUAUUAUUUGUAAUUUUAGCAAACAAGUUACUAGUACAACAUCCCAAAAUAUUGUGACUACUGACAUAACUUCUAGUUUCAUACACUGCAGGUUGUACUUGCAAGUCAUAUAUACAAUGCGGUAGCAAGCGUGUAAUAGAUACACCAAGUUUGUCCUCAUCCGAUAUCUUACUAACAAAAAGUGGGUGUUCAGCAAAAGUCUGCAUAGUAGAGUCUCCAUUCAAAAAGCUUCCUGCAUUUGCUAGUCGAUCUGCUAAUCUAUUCUGCUCUCUGUACGCAUGGCUUACUGACGGAUCAUGUAGUUGUCUCAGUAGGUGCCUGCAAUCAUUUAGUAGAUUAGCAUGUAGUAUAUUAUUAUUCUGGAGUAGGCUAAGUACCUCUUUAGCGUCAAUUUCCACUUGAAUUGGUGUUAAAUUGUGUUGUACCGCCAACAUAAGUCCCUGUAAUAGAGCAAGUAUUUUUGUGUUAAUAGACGCUUGAGAGAG